GGAUGUAGCUCAGUGGUAAAGUGAUUGCCUAGCAUGCAUGAGGCCCUGGGUUCAAUCCCCAAAAAUAUCCU
This 71-nucleotide transfer RNA is filed under the name Marmota monax (woodchuck). RNAcentral's name for it is "tRNA.Ala". Lineage: Eukaryota; Metazoa; Chordata; Mammalia; Rodentia; Sciuridae. The record is from RNAcentral.